Molecule: small nuclear RNA, 163 nt
Filed under: Physeter macrocephalus (sperm whale)
Lineage: Eukaryota; Metazoa; Chordata; Mammalia; Artiodactyla; Physeteridae
Description: Physeter catodon (sperm whale) U4 spliceosomal RNA (ENSPCTG00005018540.1)
Rfam family: U4 spliceosomal RNA (bases 1-66)
Source: RNAcentral
AGCUUUGCGCAGUGGCAGUAUUGUAGCCAAUGAGGUUUAUCCGAGGCGCGAUUAUUGCUAAUUGAUUUCCAUUUGCAUGGAAUAUCUUUUUCCAUCCCCUCACUUUCAGUCUGUAUGUGUCCCUAGGUCUGAAGUGGGUCUCUUGUAGACAGCAUAUAUAUGG